AUAGCAAAUAAAAUAACUCAGGCUGUUGUUAAGACCAGUGUAAAUGUGUUGGUUAAAUGGUUCUAGGUAAUAAAAUUGCCUCCAGUUAUUUAUGAGCCUGCCAAGGCAGAAUCUGUGCAAUAGCUAAUAUAUCUCAUUAUAAAUGCUUUAGGAAAAGCAGAACAAUCGAUUAAUCAAGAAAAAAGGCUGUUUGUCUAAAGUUGACCGACUGAUUCAUAGAGCCUGCUGGAGGGUGAGAGACCCUGGAAGCUGGAGCUAGUUGCUGUAGUGGAGGCCAGUCUAGAUCAGAUGACAGCCACCGGACAUGUAAGCAAAUCUAGCUAAGAUCAUCAGCAUCAACAGAACCAACUCUCAAAUGCAUGAGAAAUACUUAUUUUUUCUUUUUCUUUUUCUUUUUUUGGUGGAUGGGUUGUGUCACAGCAUGUGGGAUCUUAAUAUUCCCGGCCAGGGCUCGAACCCAUGUCCCGUACAGUGGAAGCAUGGAGUCGUAACCACUGGAGCACCAGGGAAGACGCUUUGUUUUUCUUUCUUUCUUUGUUUGAGAAAUACUUAUUUUUUCAAAGCCACUGUGUUUUAGGGUAGUUUGUUCCAUAGCAAAAGCUAACUGAUACAGCUCCCCAGGAAGCUGAAUUUUGACCCAAAAGUGUGGUUGCCGUGGAGAUGUGCUGCUGAGAGCCCCUCCAAGACAGAGCCUGCUAUGAAGAGUGUACUUAGCCACCAUGUUCCAGCUAUGGCAUCUCAGGGAUCUGCUGUAGCUUUUGAGCUUAUGCCAUGCUGUCCUGGCCAGCCAAUGGCCGAUCAAGGCAGGAAUCUUUGGAGCUCCCUGUUGGGGUGGCUGAGAUUUUCUUGGAGUUGCACUGUCAUUGACACUCUUGCUAGCCAAUCGUCCUUUCUUCCUCCCUUCACAGGUAGAAGACCUAUGUCUAAGUUUCAGUCAGAACUGUAGUUAUUUACUUCCGUCUGGUUUACGCUGGAGUAUCUUCCCUUCCCCAAUAAUAAUGGCAUUAUGGGAAAAACUGGAGUUGAUCAAGUGAAGAGUACACAGAGGCAGGGCUGCGUAAUAAAUUGUGUAGUGUAUCACUGCUUUACUCAUUGGCAUCAGUGCCUGGAAGGACCUAAGUAUGGGGGACAGAGAGAAGUUCACACUCUUGUACCCAAGUUGGCCAGUCUAGGUGGCCUGUCUUUCACAUCACUCCAGAGUUGGGCCAGCCCAGAGUGGAAAUAGAGUAGGGUGUAGGUAGAUGAAGAUGUACAAUGCCCCAGUCAGGUGGUCCUGGCACAGAGGAUGCCAGUAAUCUAGAUUCUAAUGCAACAAACCCACUCUCUGGAACUCAGUUCUGACCUUAAUCCCAUUGUUCGGCCUUUCCGCAAUUCCUUUCAAGUUGGAACAGAUCUGUUGUUCUUCAGGCCUGCCCCAGUCUAGGGUCAGCAACAUUCAUGUCUUCUUCCCCCAAGUCUUCUGCGUUUCUUGGUACAAUAGGGUGUCUGACACUGGACCUGGGGAGACCUCAAAGGUGAGCCCAGAGAUAUGUGGGGAGCCAGGGCUACUCCCUGCAGCAAGCUCCCUAGGAAAGUUCUCCCUAAAAGAAGAUGUUGGAGAGGAACUCAAGAGCAGGACAGAGCUGGGAGGAUGCUACCUGAGGAGAAUGGGUUCUAUAGAAGCUGGGUGAGUCCUCCUCAGCAGAAAGGCUGGAGGUCCACCUUAGCGGGCCACAUGCGGGCCAUGCAGUGACUGGCUGGAGAUGCCAAAUCCAGAGGCAUUAGGCCUGAGCAGGUUUCCAGUAUGGCUAGUGGGCUAGUUUUCCCAGACUAGCAAUUCAGUUUCACUACUGGAAGAGGGUGGCUUGGCUUCCCUCCUCUCUUGAACUCAGGACUGAGGCCCAGGACACAUGUCACAACACCUGGUGUGAGUUGGGGACAGACAGGAGUGGCAGAUGUGCCCCAUUAGUCUGCAUUGCCACCUGACUGGCUGUGGGAAAGGUAGCCUGGAAGGUAGGGACCCCAGUCCAUUUGCAAGAAGGCAGAAGAUGGAGGGUUCAUCGUACACAUGGGUGGGAGAAAGUGUUGGUGAGGUCCUGUAAUAAGGAAGAACCUUUGUAUUCUAUUACAAGUUAAUCACUAAAGGGAUAUUGCCUAUAAGCUUAAAUUAUACAUAAUGGCCUGUCCCUGGGAACCCUGCCUCCCAUGUAAUGAGUAUUAAGCUAAAAUACCUUUGUUUAGCUCAAAGGAAACAUCCUGACCAGGCCCACCUGUGAAUGACUGCAGGAAGGAAGAAAUUAACACAUACCCUCUGGAGGCUGACAGGAACCAGGACAUGUUUGACUUUACCCCCUCCCCUUUUAGUAUAAAAGAAGCCUGAAUUUCUAACUCAGGCAAGAUGGUUCUUAGGGGCACGAGCCCACCACCUUCUCCGUCUGCUGGCUUUAUGAAUAAAGUCGCUGUUCUUUGCCCCA
Molecule: long non-coding RNA, 2453 nt
Filed under: Phocoena sinus (vaquita)
Lineage: Eukaryota; Metazoa; Chordata; Mammalia; Artiodactyla; Phocoenidae
Description: lncRNA (ENSPSNG00000006867.1)
Source: RNAcentral